AUCCAUGGCGUUCGGGCACUCCAUUUUCAUGCCCGGGCGUACAUAAAGAUAGGAGGAACAGAACACCCGCAGGCUUGCGGUGCGUCAGUGUGGAGACCUGACGUAAUGCCGCGCGUCCCAUCGCGGACGGCGGCGAGGCGCCCCAUUGCGGAGGCAGAGGCGCCAGAGCCGGAAAAUGUCA
This 181-nucleotide non-coding RNA is filed under the name unclassified sequences. The record is from Rfam.